UUUUCCAUUGCGCGGGAAAAUGUUAUAUACUACCCCGGUUCCUAACCUUCAUAAUUUUUGUUAAAUAAUGUUGAUGUGUUUACAAGGUUAUGUUGUAGAAAAUGAUUUCUAAGUAAAAAAAAAAAAUGUUUGAGGAUGUAAAGUUUUUUAUAUCUGGUGAAGUACCGGACUCGGUGCGCCAAACACUGCUCGAGGGCGGGGGCCUGGAGGUGAGGUACUUCUCCGACUACGUGUCGCACUGCAUCGUGGGCCAGGGCGCGGCGGAAUGCGACGUCACGGAGGCCAGGGAACUGUACGAGGUGCCGGCGGUGAGGGGGGACUGGGUCCUGCUGUCAGCCGAUUGUGGCAGGCUUCUUCCCACUGCCGGGUUCCUGGUCGGGGACGACCGUGUGUUCUCCGGCGUGGUGGCGUGCCUGUCGGGCGUCGGCUGGCGCGACAGGAGGCGGCUGUGGGCGAUGGUGGCCUACCACGGGGGCAGGCUGGACCCGGCGCUGCGCAGCUCGUGCACGCACCUGAUAGCCGCGCAGCCCAGCGGGGCCAAGUACGAGCGCGCGGCGAAGUGCCCCGGCAUCCAGGUGGUCUCCCCGGACUGGGUCCUGGACAGCUUGCGGGCCGGCAGGCGAUGCGACGAGGGGGCCUACCACCCGAGGCUCUUGCUGCCAGCUCGACCCGAGUCGCCCGGCAAUAGCAUAACUAGAUCAUUUUCUGAAGCUACCAACGAAUUUUGUCCGGACAGCGAAACCCGAGCAGUUCUGGAAAAGCUUAAAAUGUGUUUUCCCUGGAACAAACCAGAGAGUCCGUCACUUCUUGACGGCGUGUGUCCUUUGCCUCAGGCAGAGCAGGCUCAGGACACUGUGACUAGUCCGUUAGCCUCACCGCUGCCGAGGAGGUGCGAGACUCAGGUCAGACUGACGUGCGGCUUGGCCGCCCCGAACGCCCGCUCCCCGCCGGCUCCCGGGAGAGACGGGGCGAGGGCAGUCGAGUGCACCGUGUCGGACGCCCUCUGCAGGCUGUGCAACCCGGCGGACGGGCGCGAGGCGGCCGCGGGCGGGCGGGGGCGGGAGGGGCAGGCGGCCGAGGGGAGCGUCCCCUUCGUGUCCCUGCUGGUGCGUCGUGUGCCGGGUGUCAGGACACAGCCGUCCACCCCCGAUGGGGUCUCGGGCGGUCGGUUGCGGCAGACCGCGUCCAUCGCAGCGCGGAGGCUGGCCGCCUUCAACAAGGACGCCAGGUCUGCGGACGGACAGGUUUCGUUACCGCCGCAGCGGUGCCUGUAUGGAAGCGUUUUCUGCAUACUUGGAUACGAGGAAGUGUCUUCCAAGGGUCCGUGCUUGAAGUACAUCAUCGGCAAGUACGGCGGGGCGGUGGAGAGCUCGUACGGACCUUCUGUCACCCACGUCCUGUGUGCCUCCCUCGACGAUCCCACUGCGCAACAGGCUGCUAAAGAUGGUAAGCGCUGUAUCACUGCUUACUGGCUGAACGAUGUUUUGCAGAAGAAGAAAAUACUACCACCGUGGCAAGCCAUACAUCUUCCUGUCACAUUCAGCAAGGAAAAGCCAUGCAAAGAUCUUAGGAUUUCUCUUUCCCAGUUUGAGAAUGAAGAACGCAUUCGGGUCCAGUUAAUGGUUGAAAAAAUUGGAGCAACUUUUACACAAUCAUUCAGUAAAGAGAAUGACUUGUUAGUGUGCAAGAGGGCAUCUGGCUACAAGUACACCAAAGCUUGCGAUUGGGCCAUCCCUGUGGUGAAUGUUCGGUGGCUCAAUGAUGUGUACCUCAGCGAUCCUCCGUGCGCUCUGGACCCCAGGCAGACAAAGUAUCAGGAUUUUGAUGACAGCCAUUCCCAGCAGCCACAGUUGGACAGCCGUCUGAUGGCUUCGUGGGAAGAAGGUGUGCAAACCGACAGACUUGCAGAGCGCAAUACCUCUGUCAGCUCGGGAGCCAAGAGGCCACGCGAGGGAGAAGCUUGUUCGCAAGCGCAAUCGAAGAAACUGAGAAGUGACGCAGACCCUCGCGUGCAGCACAAGAAUUUGAAGGUCGUUUUCUCGUUGGCAAACGAUAAGGAAAAUCUUGAGCAGAAGGUUCUGGAGCUGGGAGGAGACGUGGUGGCAGAUAUCAAGGACGCCACUCACUUGGUCAUGGGAACUAAAAACUUGUCUACCAAGUUUUUUUGUGCUUUGUCUUUGGUGCAGUUUAUUUUGUCAGACAAGUGGGUCGAAGACAGCUACGCUGCAAAGAGAUUCGUAGGUGAGAAACCAUAUAUUUUGGAUGUCAGUUGGAAAGGAGUGUCAAAACUCUCACUGUCGAGUCUACUGAAGAAGCCAAACCGUACCAAAUUAUUCAAAGUAAGUUGGACAGUGUAUUAACAAGACACAGUGCAUGCAAUUAUUCACACUUAUCUACUUACAUUCCUAAGGUAAUAGCUGAUAGCUCAAAUAGUGUAGCAAAAUAAUCAAAUUGAUUCUUUAGGCAUCAGUGAUUCCUCCUCAAAAAAUCAUAAUUGAAGUGUAAAUAUUCUGGCCAGACAUUGAUAGCAGUCAAAGCCAAUAGAAACUCAGUAAGAACUUCAGAAUCUAAUUCUAAUUAAAAUAUAUAGUUUAAGGCUUAAGCUACAUUAAAAUACAGCAAAACCCCUUAUUUGCACUUUUCAUGGGGACAAAGUAAAAAAGUGUAAAAAGCGGGAAAGUGUAAAUAAAGGGAAAAGCAUAAAAAGGAGUACAGUUUACCUUAUUUAGAAUUUUUUUCCUUUUGUUUAAUAGCACAUACUACAAUGCAGGUACAAACACACUAACAACAAAUUUUACUUUAGUAUUUAAUCAAUUAUUAAUUUACCACAUUUGACAAAAAUAAAAAAAGAAUGAAAGCCAAAAUGUUUUUCUGAUUACUUCCUAAAAAAUAAAUUUGAAAUUUUCUUCUGCUUGCUUUUUUGGCUGUUCAAGGAGAUUAUUUGCCUCUCCAAAUUAUAAAUACAGUUGCAACCGGCAGGGUUUAUAACAAAUACGGGCUACAUACACAUUGCUCACAGUAAAAAAAUUUUUAAGAAAAGGCCGCAAAUUGAUGAAUAUUUACCGUCAAUAGCGCGCCAAACGCGGAGAAAGGUCAUUGUACUCGGUCAGCUGCUGUAACGACGCGGCGGCGCAUGCGCACUCUAUGCUCCGCCCAGACUCAUGACGCCAUCAGCCGCCAACCAAUAGAUGCGAGCUUAGCGGAAAAAAAUAUAAGCUCCACCUCCCGUGUACCAAUUUUAUCCAGUUCUAAUACCAGUUUAUUGGUAUACGCACCAGUUUUCUCGCUGCCGUGACAUGUUCAAGUUUACGUUUAUCAUGAUGUCUUGAUACCAAUAAUUAAUUAUUUACGAUCCCCAGAAAUAAAUGGUUAGUUUAAAAAAUAUGGCGUCAACUGUACAAUACUUCCCAAAUUAUAAAAGACGUAUAAAACAGUUACCAAGACACCGCUCAUUUUAUCUUGUGAAGUUUAUGUCUCGUACCAGUAUUUCGGCUAAGUUGUGACAUAAAUACAGUAUCAGAACUUACAAGCAGCCAUGUUUGUACAUUCAUGAGUUUACGUUUUUCCCUCGUGCAUUUUAGAUUGUCUCCUGCUAUAAUUACUCGUACUUUUACACGCCUAGGCUUAAAUUAUUACAUGUUUAGAAAUAAAAGCAACUUUUCAUGUUAUAAAAUAUGUAUAUUUUGCUAUUUAAAAUGUUCAUUGCCUACUAGCUCCACGGUAUUUUCUGGUUGUUUAUGGUUGUUCGUGACGUAAAUAGCGGGAUUGAUUCGAUUUUUGAGACGUAAUUCGCGGGAAAGUAUUGUAUUGGACUAUAUGGGAACCAAACGGGACCUGAAGAAUAUAGUGCAAAUAACGGGAAAACGUAAAUAACGGUAACGUAAAUAAGGGGUUUCGCUGUAGUAACAUAAACUUGCCAUUACCAUAUUUUUUCAAAGCCAAUCCAACACCUGGCCAUACCUGUUCACAGAAUAUUCUGAAGGAAGAAAAAUUUUUUUGUAGGUUACAUCGUUGGGGGAAAAUCUUAACUACCCAAGAAACUACAUGCUAGAUUAAACUACAUGGAUAUUUUUUAAUACCAUACCAGGCUAGAGAGAGUUUGUGAACAAUAUUUGUGUUAUUUGUUAUUUCACUCUCUGUCAAAUGUUUGUGUUAUUUGAGGGAAAAUUUUAGCCUCAGAAUAAAGGCGAUAUGUAGGGAAAACAUUUUUUGUAACUCCCGGCACAACCCCCAAGAGCAGUACGCUGCGGGCAGUCAUAGAAGCUGC
Bacillus rossius redtenbacheri is the source of this 4267-nucleotide RNA transcript. It is a transcript of the gene named PAX-interacting protein 1-like, with no coding region annotated. The transcript is spliced from 14 exons. NCBI's taxonomy places the organism in Eukaryota, Metazoa, Arthropoda, Insecta, Phasmatodea, Bacillidae. The record is from RefSeq and is a predicted model, not a curated record.